This 335-nucleotide unclassified non-coding RNA is filed under the name soil metagenome. RNAcentral's name for it is "partial contains 5.8S ribosomal RNA, internal transcribed spacer 2, and large subunit ribosomal RNA". The stretch from base 1 to 120 matches the Rfam family "5.8S ribosomal RNA", at positions 35 to 154 of the family's 154-position model. The record is from RNAcentral.
GAUGAAGAACGUAGCGAAAUGCGAUAAGUAAUGUGAAUUGCAGAAUUCAGUGAAUCAUCGAAUCUUUGAACGCACAUUGCGCCCAUUAGUAUUCUAGUGGGCAUGCCUGUUCGAGCGUCAUUUCAACCCUUAAGCCUAGCUUAGUAUUGGGAAUCGACUUUACUGUCGUUCCUCAAAUUCAACGGCGGAUUUAUAGCAAUCUCUGAACGUAGUAAUUUUUUUCCUCGUUUUUGAAAUACUAUAAACCUCAGCCGCUAAACCCCCAAUUUUUCUAUGGUUGACCUCGGAUCAGGUAGGAAUACCCGCUGAAUUUAAGCAUAUCAAUAAGCGGAGGA